This 255-nucleotide long non-coding RNA is filed under the name Elaeis guineensis (African oil palm). Its description in RNAcentral is "long non-coding RNA (EGUI_LNC059105)". The record is from RNAcentral. Lineage: Eukaryota; Viridiplantae; Streptophyta; Magnoliopsida; Arecales; Arecaceae.
AGUACUAAGGUAGAUAAAUGCUUGUUUGUAGGCUAUCCUAAAAAGAGUAUAAGAUAUCUCUUUUACUAUCUUACUGAACAUAAGGUGUUUGUCAAUAAAUAUGUCAUUUUUAUGGAAAAAGAGUUUAUCCUAGAAAGAGGUAGUGGAAAGAAAAUUAAACUUGGAGAAGUUCAAGAUCUAUAAAUGCAGGCACAAGAUGAUCCUCAACCAAAAUAUUCAUUAAUAAAGUACAAUCAUAAAAUACACCUCCUCUUC